This 852-nucleotide long non-coding RNA is filed under the name Equus caballus (horse). RNAcentral's name for it is "lncRNA (ENSECAG00000041945.2)". Lineage: Eukaryota; Metazoa; Chordata; Mammalia; Perissodactyla; Equidae. The record is from RNAcentral.
GUCACGCUCAGCCAUGACAUCAACAACGGUGGUCUUGCUUCCUGUCCGUCCCCGAGGCAUGGCACAGUGCGGCCAGCCUCCGAGAUGGCUCCCCAGAGAUCCUGGCGUCCACACCUUUGUGUCAUCCCCUCCCACAGCCAGCAGCUCGGACCUGUGUCACCAACAGGAUACUGCGUAGGUGACAGAGUGUGACUUCCGAGCUUAGGUCAUAGGAGACAUCGCAGCUGCCGCCUUGUUCUCGCGGGUCGCUCAGUCUGGGGAAGCCAGCCGCCGUGUGGUGAGGACAUCCAAGCGGCCCUGUGGAGAGGCCCAUGUGGCCAGGAAGUGAGGCCUCUGCCAACAGCCAGUGCGAGCCUGCCACCAGGGGAGGAAGCCACCUUGGAAGAGGGUCCUCCAGCCCGAGUCCAGCCUUUGGAUGCCUGUGGCCCGGUCGACAGCCUGACACAGCCUCACGGGAAACCUGAGCUGGAACCACACAGCCCCCAAGUUCCUGACCCACAGAAACAAUGUGAGAUAACAAAUUUUCACUAUUUUAAGCCACUAAGUUUUGAAGUACUUUGUUAUGAAGCAAAAGAUAAGGAAUUCAACCCGCAUCAAUCGUCACAGCAACCUAUGAGCCAGCCAUCACCCCACGCCCAUUUUAUGGAUGAAGAACCAGGUACAGCGAGGUUGAAUAACUCACCCAGCAUCACACCGGCAGAGCCCAGACUCGCUCCCAGACAGGUGGGGGCCACAGGAUUCACUUCUGUACCACACGGUGGCUGCUGUCCCAUCCCAGUCCUCCUUGCCAGCCCCCUGGGGCCUGGAGGGGUCCCUCCCGCGGGUUGUGUGGCUCUGCAGAGGCUGACCUUG